CCACCAACGAAAAAUAAACUGUUUGUCAAAUAAAUGGAUCAACGCUACACAAAGUGACAUAUUACCAUACUGGUGACCUCUUUUUUUCUUUUUAAAAAGUUCCUUUAUGAAAUAAGUCUCAUAUCAAUAAAGGAACAAGUCGGCAAGCACGCGAGCACAGUUAUUCCAAUGAAAAUGUCGACUGCUUGUGAAAAACAUGUCUUCCAAAUGUAAAAAAAUAUGUUGUCAAACAAGAAUUUAAACAUCUUGAUAAUGCCAGAUUCAGAGAAAUUGUGUCUGAAUCAGAGUGACAAAAUACUUGUAUCUACGCUGAAAAAUCUCUUUUAUGAACCAAAGAAGAGCUACCUCUUCCAAUUAGUCUUUUAUGUGAAAUAAGGAAUACUUGUAUAAAGAAUAGAAAGAUUAAUUUAGUACUAUUGCAACAUGAAAGAGUCUUAGAUUGUAUGUUCUAUAGACUCACAAUAUUUCGGGCCUUUGUAUAAAACAUUUCGCAGAGAUGUGUUUUUGAUAACGUAACCAGACUAGCCGUAUUAAAUAUGAACGAGGACGUGUUCAAAUGAGACAACUAUACAUAAAAGACCAAUGGCCCAAUUGACCAAUGGACAAUGACGUAAAUAAUUACAGGGCACCAUAUGGCUUCAAACAUUUAAAAAUCACUACAAUAUACAACUACAUAGUCCCUGACAUCACAAGCUAUGAAUCAACGCAAAAGAAAAAACCAACAGUCUUAUGUAUACUACUAUAAUAAACAAAGACAGAAUAUGACUGACAAAAAUAAAUUGGAUAACAAAGUAUUCAUAGUAAUUGGAAAAUGUUAAUGCUAUUGCAAAAUUUGUACAAAUAAGGAGAUAUGGUAUGACAACUCAAAUUAUUUGCAACUGUUUGUCACCGUACGGUCUUCGCCAAUUAAAACAAAAAACCUAGCGUAUAGUGCUGCUAAUUGUUAAAAGCGCAAACAAGAACACGAACUGCCUAAUUUAUACAAUAUUGUUUACGAAAAAAACUAGUACGUCAGACAGGAACCAACAACAUCUGCUAAAUUUCAGGCUCCUUACAUUGGACAGGAAAAUAAAGAAUAUGGCCGGUAAGAAUACGUUUUUUAGUGUAUAACCCUCCUAUAAUCUGGGACAAUGGUGUUAAAGUCCGAAACAGAUGAAACCACUAAGAUGAAUGAUUUAUAUGUGCAAAAUAUAUACAGACUUUCGAAUUGCAUUUAAAUGAAAUUUAACAUUUCGAUUUUGUGAUUUUUGACGUUGAAAUAUUUUAUUUUAUUUUCUUAUAUUAUAGAUAUUUAAAAAGAAC
Molecule: long non-coding RNA, 1302 nt
Filed under: Mytilus galloprovincialis (Mediterranean mussel)
Lineage: Eukaryota; Metazoa; Mollusca; Bivalvia; Mytilida; Mytilidae
Source: RNAcentral